Long non-coding RNA from Passer domesticus (house sparrow), 581 nucleotides. RefSeq lists it as uncharacterized. The record is from RefSeq and is a predicted model, not a curated record. Lineage: Eukaryota; Metazoa; Chordata; Aves; Passeriformes; Passeridae. The transcript is spliced from 2 exons.
UGAGCUUGCUCAUGUCAGUUAAGAGUUAUUGAACUUGCAAGAUAAAUUUACUACAGAUUUCGUGUGCACUGAGCACGACGCCGGCCAAGCACUCAGCUGUCAACCAAGCUUUUCUUCUGUGACUUCUACUCCAGGCUGAUCUAUGUUGCUAGAGACCAGAAACACAACCAGAACAGAGUUCCUCUGCUGGCAGCAGCCAUUCCAGCAGCUGGCUGACUGAAAAAGAAAUGAGCACUCAGAGGCUGCAGAAAACUGAGCAGAGCCUGACAUGAAGACAACCAAAGCAGGAGACUGCAGCUGGUGGGUCCAUCAAGUUCUUCCAGGAUUCCAGCUACUGCAGCUUGAGAUGGAAACAGCUGCUCAUGGAAAAGCCACAGAAACUUGUCUGCUCCCAAUCACCACCAAAGCACUGCAGCCACCCCUGACCUGAACUGGCUCACCCUGGACAACCCUGAAGAGCACUGGGCUCCACUCUGGCUUAGGCUGCAGCAGUCACUCCCCAGCAGCCAGGGGGCAAAACUAACCAUCUCUUCUGCAAAUUAACUUUCAGUAAUGAGAUCUCAUUAAACAACAAAACUUUU